GGGAAAUCGAGUUCUCAUGCUGGGGCGAAAGGUGUGUCUGCAGGAGCCAAAUCCAAAUGAGCAGUCCAGAGCUUCAGAGAAGAGGCAGAAGUGUGCAAACAGGAGCAGGUCCAAGAUUUGCAUGGCCAGAAGCAAUUCUUGAUCCUCUUGGCUAGAUUCGAAGAUUUGGCCACCUCCAGACGCUACCACACUCUGGGACAGUGGGAGAUUUGGAACAGCUUUGAGAAGAGCAAGGAAAAGAAAAUUUGGACAUAGACUCAUACAGAGGAAAGAUGAUGUGAGGACAGACAUCUAAGCCACGGAGCAAGGCCCUUCCCUCACAGCUCUCAGAAGGAACCAAACCUGUUGACAUCUGUUUUUUUUUUUUUGAGAUGGAGUCUAGCUCUGUCGCCCAGGCUGGAGUGCAGUAGCACGAUCUCAGCUCACUGCAGCCUCCGCCUCCCAGGUUCAAGCAAUUCUCCUGCCUCAGCCUCCCGAGUAGCUGGGAUUACAGGCACCCGCCACCACGCCCGGCUAAUUUUUAUAUUUUUAGUAGAGACAGGGUUUCACCACGUUGGCCAGGCUGGUCUCGAACUCCUGACUUCAAGUGAUCUGCUCUCCUUGGCCUCCCAAAGUGCUGGGAUCACAGGCGUGAGCCACUGCACCCGGCCCCUGUUGACAUCUUGAUCUCAGACUUCACCCGGC
This 684-nucleotide long non-coding RNA is filed under the name Homo sapiens (human). RNAcentral's name for it is "non-protein coding lnc-NUTM2G-6:9". The record is from RNAcentral. Lineage: Eukaryota; Metazoa; Chordata; Mammalia; Primates; Hominidae.